CCGAUGCUAUUGCUCCAUCACCGCCGACAAUCCACGCCAUUUUCUCUUCUAUUUUUCGGCGUGAUGCCCUAGUUGUCGUGUGGUGUUGCGUUAUCGCAAAUACUCUCAUGUCCCAUGCUGGCUCGACUCUUCCGCCGCCAACGGUGCCCAUGGUCGCCAUCCUUGCUUCCUCUUAUUUCAUCUCCAAUUGGUGAGCGGUUGUUAUUGCCACCAUUGUCGCCGCCUCCCAUUUUCAGCUGCCUAUAGGGACUCUGCUCCCCUGUUGCCGUUGUUGUGGAUUGAAUGUUUCUCCUGUUAUUGUUGGUCUUGUUGUUAAUCCCUGCUCUUCCAUUUCUCCAUGCAUGGUGAGGGGCAGUGUCAAAGUGUUUUGCAGGUAGGGAUGCUCAAUGAAGAUUAAUGGCAAGAGAUGCUUAGUCGAUUAAUGUGAGGUUUCUUUGGUUUCAAGUGGAAGUUGUAAGUAGAUGUAUUCUAAAUUUUCUAAGGUGUAAUUUGUAAGAUUUAUUAAGGUCUACCAUUAACUUAGUUGUAAAUUUAUUUCUUUAAAGGAUUUCUUUGGAUUA
This is a long non-coding RNA of Spinacia oleracea (spinach), 560 nucleotides long. RefSeq lists it as uncharacterized. NCBI's taxonomy places the organism in Eukaryota, Viridiplantae, Streptophyta, Magnoliopsida, Caryophyllales, Amaranthaceae. The record is from RefSeq and is a predicted model, not a curated record. The transcript has 3 exons.